CUUUUACUUCUUAUAACAUUGUUCACGAGUAUAGGAGCUCGAAUUUCGAGGCUCACAAUCUCGCUAGGCAUGCACUUUCUUUAGGGUUUGGCCGCCAUGUUUGGUUAGGCCAACCCGGAGACUUGAAUUUUAUUCCUGUAAAUAUUGGAACAGUUUGAAUAAAGCCUGGCGAGAAUGUCUAAAAAAACCUGGUUGUCUUCCAUCUCCGCUCGGUCUCCUCCUCCUACACGUCAGCGCCGCCACUGCAGGGUCGAACCACGCUCGAUUCGCCCCGAUCCCUAACCCCCUCCAUCGAAUCCGUGGGCACAUAUCGACUCCUCUUGAUCCCGUCGACCGAUUCCAGAACUGAGUGCUCGCGACCAGCCUCGAUUUCGAGCUCCUCGAUCUCGCCAGUCUCCGCUUCGCCAUCAAGCUUCGCCGGUCGAUGCCGUCGCCUACAGAGAGCACCAGAUCGAGCACACGCAUCAAGAACUGAAGCUCCAGAACUCCGCCGGAAUUCGUGUGCAUUGCCACCGCCGCCCUACGAAGAGAUCGCCGUCGUCGUCUACAUCAGAGCCACUUCCGUACCAUGCCUCACCCGCGCGUCAUCUCUGCAUCACGGGAGAAUACACCCGAAGCCACCACCAUCUUCCUCUGUUUCUGGUGACCGCGCGUGCAGAGUCACUUUGGCCAAUCACGUGAUGACACGUGGCGAUAUGUUACAGUAGUCGCAUAUCAAAAAUAAUAUUUUGGACAGAUUUUCACCUAUCUUUUUUCGUUUAGCUAUAUCUCCUGAUCUGUUUAGUCAAAUUGAGUGAUUCUUUUUUCCUGUGUAAUCGUGUUGAUCAGUAGAACUAUUUAAAUUUGAGCAA
This is a long non-coding RNA of Triticum aestivum (bread wheat), 851 nucleotides long. RefSeq lists it as uncharacterized. The record is from RefSeq and is a predicted model, not a curated record. The transcript has 2 exons. NCBI's taxonomy places the organism in Eukaryota, Viridiplantae, Streptophyta, Magnoliopsida, Poales, Poaceae.